AUGUAAGAAUUUAAAGGUCGAACAGACCUAUACAUUAAGCGACUACACCUAAUUAUUAUCUUAAUUCAACAUCGAGGUCGCAAGCCUUCCUGUAAAUAUGAACUCUGAAGGAAGAUUACGCUGUUAUCCCUAAGGUAACUUAAUCUAAUAAUCAAUAAAACUGGAUCUAAAAUUCAUAAAUCAAUGUUAUAUAAAUAAAAAAGUUAAUUAUAUAUUUUUGUCACCCCAACAAAAUAAAUAAAACAAUAAAUAAAUUUAAUUAUACAAAAAUUUAAAUAAAAAUUAUAUUUAUAAAGCUCUAUAGGGUCUUCUCGUCUUCCAAAUUAAUUUCAGCAUUUUAACUGAAAAGUUAAAUUUUAAUUACAAAUUGAAUGAGACAGCUAACAAUUCGUCAAACCCUUCAUACCAGCCCCCUAUUAAAAGACUAAUGAUUAUGCUACCUUUGCACGGUCAAAAUACCGCGGCCGUUAAAAAUUUAUCACUGGGCAGGUCAGACUUCAUAUAUAAGCAAGAAGACAUGUUUUUGAUAAACAGGCGAUUGUUAUAUUUGCCGAGUUCCUUAUUCAAUUAUAUUAAAUAAUAUUAUUUAAUACAAAAUCCUAUACUAAUUUAAUCAUUAUUACAAACUUUUUAUAGUUUAAAAUAAUAUUUUAAUAAAAUACUAAAACCUAAGUAAAUCCAAUUAUAUUAAAAUGAACUACAACGAACUCAAUAAAUGAUAGCUAAUUUAAAGCCUACAUAUUUUAAUAAUAAUAAAAGUUAUAGUCAUAAAACUAGAGCUUAUCCCCUAGAAUUUUAAUUUUAAAUUAUAAAUAUUUAAUUUAAUUAAAUAUUUAAAAAUAAAAUCUAAAUUAAAUUUAAUUCUUAAAAAACU
This 874-nucleotide ribosomal RNA is filed under the name Onychogomphus uncatus. RNAcentral's name for it is "partial large subunit ribosomal RNA". The record is from RNAcentral. Lineage: Eukaryota; Metazoa; Arthropoda; Insecta; Odonata; Gomphidae.